CCAAUAGCGUAUAUUAAAGUUGUUGCAGUUAAAAAGCUCGUAGUUGAAUUUCGGGGUCAGUAGGUUGGUCAUGCCACUGGUAUGUACUGGUCUCACUGAUUCCUCCUUCCUGAUGAGCCGUAAUGCCAUUAAUUUGGUGUUGCGAGGAAUCUGGACUGUUACUUUGAAAAAAUUAGAGUGUUUAAAGCAGGCUAACGCUUGAAUACAUUAGCAUGGAAUAAUGAAAUAGGACGUUCGAUCUUAUUUUGUUGGUUUCUAAGAUUGACGUAAUGAUUAAUAGGGAUAGUUGGGGGCAUUAGUAUUCAAUUGUCAGAGGUGAAAUUCUUGGAUUUAUUGAAGACUAACUACUGCGAAAGCAUUUGCCAAGGAUGUUUUCAUUAAUCAAGAACGAAAGUUAGGGGAUCGAAGACGAUCAGAUACCGUCGUAGUCUUAACCAUAAACUAUGCCGACUAGGGAUCGGAUGAUGUUAAUUUUUUAAAGACUCAUUCGGCGCCUUACGGGAAACCAAAGUGUUUGGUC
RNAcentral lists this unclassified non-coding RNA (520 nucleotides) under uncultured Glomeromycotina. RNAcentral describes it as "SSU rRNA". It matches the Rfam family "Eukaryotic small subunit ribosomal RNA", at positions 591 to 1112 of the family's 1831-position model. The record is from RNAcentral. Lineage: Eukaryota; Fungi; Glomeromycota.